GCAUCAAAGUGACGGUCAGUGAGAGUCUUGAGCAACAUUCUGCGGAAGGAGCCUCUGCAAGUGAAAACAAGAAAGAGGAGCUGAAUGAAAUCUUGCACAUUUUAGAGUGCGAGUGCUUCAUUUCUUGUGAUGGCCAAACCCGUGGCCACACUACUAUGUCGAGUUGCUGAAACACAGCCCUCCUUUGUCAUGAUGUCAGCUGGUGUAAACAAGGUCAGGAAAUGCAAUCCUAAAUGAAGAACCAGCUCCUCCUCUGCGUGCACCCACAACUCCGCCCUCAUGUGACUCCAGCCAAUCCCGUCUCAUUCCGCUCCUACACAGCAAGAAAAAAGCACAUCCAGAGGGCGGAAAGUCGGCGCAAGCGGUAUAAGAGCGGGAUAAGCAUGGAUUGUUUUUCUAUCAACGUGUCGACUCUUCACUCCCUGACCAGAGACAGUGGAUCCAUGUCCAAAAUGUGGCGUGGAUUCGACAGAGAGCAAGGGAGAGUGGGGAGAAAACCCCAUUAACACCGGACGCGCGUGCGCACACACACACACACACACACACACACACACACACACACGCACGCACAGAAACAGCACUGCAGCUCAGCUCAGGUCGGGGCAGAAACCUUAACUGCUGCCUGCAGAGAAGAGCGCUGUCCCUCCGCUGUGGUGCUGAACGUUGCGACGCAGGACUGAGAUCCAAAGGGAGACAAGAGGUUUUAGAAGAGCCGCAGAAAACUUUAUGUGUAUGGAUUUAGAAGAAACAAGCUGAGCAGAAGUGAUGGCCAGACCCCCCUCCAGUCCGACAGGCUUCAGUCCGGCGGUGUGAGCACAGCGGCGGAACCCAGCGGAGGACAGGGACGGAGGCUUUCCAUCUGUGAGGUAAGCUCUGCGUCUCUUUACACGUGGAUGAUUGCGGGAAGAAAUGUAAUAGAUUACGCUUCUAAAGGGGGGUCUACAUGCAGCAGCGAGAAUGGGCUGCAUCAGCUCCAAAGCGCCUGUUGGUAAGAAGUGCUUUAACUUGCUCUCCUAGAAUAAAUAAA
Poecilia latipinna (sailfin molly) is the source of this 1027-nucleotide long non-coding RNA. RefSeq lists it as uncharacterized. The transcript has 3 exons. NCBI's taxonomy places the organism in Eukaryota, Metazoa, Chordata, Actinopteri, Cyprinodontiformes, Poeciliidae. The record is from RefSeq and is a predicted model, not a curated record.